Molecule: unclassified non-coding RNA, 359 nt
Filed under: Hevea brasiliensis (rubber tree)
Lineage: Eukaryota; Viridiplantae; Streptophyta; Magnoliopsida; Malpighiales; Euphorbiaceae
Source: RNAcentral
GUGUUCGAUGAGAACUUUUUCUGUUUCAUAUUCGCCUGCAACAGGCAAUUAAAUUAUGGCGGUGUUUCUGCUGAAGAAAAGGAGUGUUCUCCUUGACGGGGGAACAUGUGGAGUAAAGAUGAGACAGCUACCAUUUAUGUGGAUCAUCUGUAUAGUUAUGUUGUUUAUUGUAUAUAGGACCACCAAUUAUCAGUAUCAACAGACAGAGAUGGAGUCAAGGUUGGAUCCGUUUUAUUCUUCAAAGGACUCUAGUAUGGAUAUGAGAAGCUUGCACAGUUUACCGCGUGGUAUUAUCCAAGCAAGAUCAGAUCUGGAGUUAAAGCCUCUGUGGUCAACAACUAGUUCAAAGUCAAAGGCAA